GAGCUCAAAUUUAUAAUCUGGCACCUUCGGUGUCCGAGUUGUAAUCUCUAGAAAUGUUUUCCGCGUUGGACCGCACACAAGUCUGUUGGAAUACAGCGGCAUAGUGGUGAGACCCCCGUAUAUGGUGCGGACGCCCAGCGCUUUGUGAUACAUUUUCGAAGAGUCGAGUUGUUUGGGAAUGCAGCUCAAAUUGGGUGGUAAAUUCCAUCUAAAGCUAAAUAUUGGCGAGAGACCGAUAGCGAACAAGUACCGUGAGGGAAAGAUGAAAAGCACUUUGGAAAGAGAGUUAACAGUACGUGAAAUUGUUGGAAGGGAAACGCUUGAAGUCAGACUUGCUUGCCGAGCAAUCGGUUUGCAGGCCAGCAUCAGUUUUCCGGGAUGGAUAAUGGUAGAGAGAAGGUAGCAGUUUCGGCUGUGUUAUAGCUCUCUGCUGGAUACAUCUUGGGGGACUGAGGAACGCAGUGUGCCUUUGGCGGGGGUUUCGACCUCUUCACACUUAGGAUGCUGGUGGAAUGGCUUUAAACGACCCGUCUUGAAACACGGACCA
Molecule: ribosomal RNA, 547 nt
Filed under: Rhodotorula mucilaginosa
Lineage: Eukaryota; Fungi; Basidiomycota; Microbotryomycetes; Sporidiobolales; Sporidiobolaceae
Description: eukaryotic LSU rRNA
Rfam family: Eukaryotic large subunit ribosomal RNA
Source: RNAcentral